UACAGAGGGUGCGAGCGUUUAAUCGGAAUUACUGGGCGUAAAGCGUGCGUAGGCGGUUUGUUAAGUCCGUUGUGAAAGCCCUGGGCUCAACCUGGGAAUUGCAGUGGAUACUGGCGAGCUAGAGUGCGGUAGAGGAUGGUGGAAUUCCCGGUGUAGAGGUGAAAUUCGUAGAUAUCGGGAGGAACACCAGUGGCGAAGGCGGCGAUCUGGGAAGAUACUGACGCUGAGGUGCGAAAGCGUGGGGAGCAAACAGG
This 254-nucleotide ribosomal RNA is filed under the name uncultured bacterium. Its description in RNAcentral is "partial 16S ribosomal RNA". It matches the Rfam family "Bacterial small subunit ribosomal RNA", at positions 524 to 776 of the family's 1533-position model. The record is from RNAcentral.